Molecule: ribosomal RNA, 874 nt
Filed under: uncultured archaeon
Lineage: Archaea
Description: bacterial SSU rRNA
Rfam family: Archaeal small subunit ribosomal RNA
Source: RNAcentral
CGGUUGAUCCUGCCGGAGGUUACUGCUAUCGGAGUUCGAUUAAGCCAUGCGAGUCUAAAGGUUUCUUCGGAAGCCUUGGCGGACUGCUCAGUAACACGUGGAUAACCUACCCUUGGGACUGGAAUAACCCCGGGAAACUGGGGAUAAUACCGGAUAGAUCAGGGAUGCUGGAAUGCACCUUGAUCCAAAGCUCCGGCGCCCAAGGAUGGGUCUGCGGCCUAUCAGGUUGUAGUGGGUGUAACGUACCUACUAGCCGACGACGGGUACGGGUUGUGAGAGCAAGAGCCCGGAGAUGGAUUCUGAGACACGAAUCCAGGCCCUACGGGGUGCAGCAGGCGCGAAACCUUUACAAUGUGCGAAAGCAUGAUAAGGGAACUCCGAGUGCCAGUAUCUAAUACUGGCUGUCCUUGUGCCUAAACCGCACAAGAUAGCAAGGGCCGGGUAAGACCGGUGCCAGCCGCCGCGGUAACACCGGCGGCCCGAGUGGUAGCCGCUAUUAUUGGGUCUAAAGGGUCCGUAGCCGGUUCGAUAAGUCCUCUGGGAAAUCUGGUUGCUUAACAAUCAGACUGCCAAGGGAUACUGUUGAACUUGAGACCGGGAGAGGUAAGAGGUACUUCAGGGGUAGGAGUGAAAUCUUGUAAUCCCUGGGGGACCAUCUGUGGCGAANGCGUCUUACCAGAACGGGUCUGACGGUGAGGGACGAAAGCUGGGGGCGCAAACCGGAUUAGAUACCCGGGUAGUCCCAGCCGUAAACGAUGCUCGCUAUGUGUCNGUACGGUGUGACCGUAUCUGGUGCCGUNGGGAAGCCGUGAAGCGAGCCACCUGGGAAGUACGGUCGCAAGACUGAAACUUAAAGGAAUUGGCGGGGGAGCAC